CACCUCUGCCUUUGGGUUCUUGAUGAACUUCCAACGGCUCAGUGCCUCCUUUGCUCACUCGGGCAUCCUCUGCACGUCCAGCACAGGUCCCCGGGGUCUUCAAAGAGGUUUUCAAGCGUGUAGAAAAAAAUACAGCCCGGUGGCUGGGAUGAAGCACGUGACAACCUUGUGAGAUGAGGAAGGAACUGACUUCCCUCGGCCCUGAUGGGGACACAGGAGCCCUGGGAGCUGACAGCAUUUGUCCAAAGCAGCUGAGUGGGGCAGCCGAGGAUCUCAUCCACUCCCCCAAUUCUGCUGCUGCCAGGAAACAGCACCCAAGGAUCCAGGAUCAGCCUCCAUCCCACCCUCCUCUUGGCAAGGAUCCAGGAUCAGCCUCUAUCCCACCCUCCUCUUGGCAAGUAUCCAGGAUCAGCCUCCAUCCCACCCUCCUCUUGGCAAGUCUCUGCUCUCAGGGCUUGAGGGACAAAAAAAAAAAAAAAAAGUGUGAUCAAAUCAGAAAGAGACCCAGGGGUCUCGUCCCAGUGUCUCAGGAGCACUAGCAAAGUCGAAAGCUCUGGUUCCACAAUGCUGUUCAAGCUGGCCUUGGCCUCCAGUGCCCCCUGCACGAGUCCCUCUGAUAACUCACAGUGAAUGUUCUUGUGGGACAGGACUCCAACUUGAGGAGCCGGUGCGAAGCUUGCCAAGUGCAACUUUAGUGCUAGAGCGUUGGUUCCAAUCAAGGUCAUACGGCAGAGCAAGCAAGUGAAGGCACCCGGUCAAGUCCAAAGCUGAAGACCCUGGCUCUCCAAUAAGGCUCUGGAAAACCACAGCUGGGGUGAGGGAGUCCCCUCCAGGCGUGAUGACCUCAGGCUUGCCCUCCUCACCUCUUUCCUCACGAGACCAGUCAGAGGUAAGCCAUUUCCUUUCCUGAAGGCUCCCUAGGGGGUGGGUCCCUCUCACCCCCUGCUCUCCCUUGCCUUUCUCUCAUCCAUCCCAGCAAGCCCCCGGGCUGACCUGGGAGGCACAAGGCCACCAACCCUGGCCACCUUCCCCCACUGCCUCCCUGAGGAGGUGUCAUUCUGAUGCACUAGGCUGCUACCAGAGGAUCGGUGGGUCCCAACCCUUGGAAGGAGUCCUCCGUUUAAUCUUUCUCUUUUGGCUGUGGCAAGUGGAAAUUCCUGGGCCAGGGAUCGAACCUGUGCCACAGCUGUGACACAAGCCACAGCAGCGAUAACGCUGGAUUCUUAACCGGCUGAGCCACCAGGGAACUCCCCUCUGUUUAGCCUUGAUGGGUUAGCUGGCCUGAAAGUAUUACCAAGCACCGUAAAACUUUUUAGCCUUCUCUACCAGUGACUGGUUUUUCUUUGCUCUUCCUCAGAGGAGAAUGGGGAUGGAGAGAGACCAAGACAGAAUGUUCCUGCAGUGACCCUGAGAAGGCCUCUAUGCUCAAAUCUCAAUGUAGGAGAAAAGAUAGGAAUCUCAUCUCAAAGUUCCUUUUUUCUUUUUUUUUUUUUUGGUUUUUUUUUUUUUUUUUUUAUUUAUUUAUUUUUGGCUUUUUAG
RNAcentral lists this long non-coding RNA (1539 nucleotides) under Sus scrofa (pig). RNAcentral describes it as "lncRNA (ENSSSCG00015036501.1)". The record is from RNAcentral. Lineage: Eukaryota; Metazoa; Chordata; Mammalia; Artiodactyla; Suidae.